RNAcentral lists this ribosomal RNA (274 nucleotides) under uncultured bacterium. Its description in RNAcentral is "partial 16S ribosomal RNA". It matches the Rfam family "Bacterial small subunit ribosomal RNA", at positions 523 to 796 of the family's 1533-position model. The record is from RNAcentral.
AUACGGAGGGUGCAAGCGUUAAUCGGAAUUACUGGGCGUAAAGCGUACGUAGGCGGUUAGUUAAGUUAGAUGUGAAAGCCCCGGGCUUAACCUGGGAACUGCAUUUAAAACUGGCUAACUAGAGUUAAGUAGAGGGGAGUGGAAUUUCAGGUGUAGCGGUGAAAUGCGUAGAGAUCUGAAGGAACACCAGUGGCGAAGGCGACUCCCUGGACUUGAACUGACGCUGAGGUACGAAAGCGUGGGUAGCAAACGGGAUUAGAUACCCUUGUAGUCC